UGGGGAAUUUUGGACAAUGGGCGAAAGCCUGAUCCAGCAAUGCCGCGUGUGUGAAGAAGGCCUUCGGGUUGUAAAGCACUUUUGUCCGGAAAGAAAUCCUCUGGGUUAAUACCUCGGGGGGAUGACGGUACCGGAAGAAUAAGCACCGGCUAACUACGUGCCAGCAGCCGCGGUAAUACGUAGGGUGCAAGCGUUAAUCGGAAUUACUGGGCGUAAAGCGUGCGCAGGCGGUUUUGUAAGACGGAUGUGAAAUCCCCGGGCUUAACCUGGGAACUGCAUUCGUGACUGCAAGGCUAGAGUAUGGCAGAGGGGGGUAGAAUUCCACGUGUAGCAGUGAAAUGCGUAGAGAUGUGGAGGAAUACCGAUGGCGAAGGCAGCCCCCUGGGCCAAUACUGACGCUCAUGCACGAAAGCGUGGGGAGCAAACAGGAUUAGAUACCCUGGUAGUCCACGCCCUAAAACGAUGUCAACUAGUUGUUGGGGAUUCAUUUCCUUAGUAACGUAGCUAACGCGUGAAGUUGACCGCCU
Molecule: ribosomal RNA, 527 nt
Filed under: uncultured bacterium
Lineage: Bacteria
Description: partial 16S ribosomal RNA
Rfam family: Bacterial small subunit ribosomal RNA
Source: RNAcentral